Molecule: RNA transcript, 5772 nt
Organism: Diachasmimorpha longicaudata
Lineage: Eukaryota; Metazoa; Arthropoda; Insecta; Hymenoptera; Braconidae
Gene: Su(var)2-10
Gene name: E3 SUMO-protein ligase PIAS2
Exons: 9
Source: RefSeq, a predicted model, not a curated record
UUUUGUAAUAGAGAUAUAUGAUGUCCGUUGUGAGUAGUUGGCAUCAACGAAGUAUUUGUUCCCGAUUGUCUCUCAUCAUAAAAUAAAGGAUAGCUACCGCGGGCCUCCGGUCAGCCUCGAGUCUAGAGCAAUACUCCGUUACCUUAAAUAAUUAAUGUUUUUUUUUAUACAUUGUGGUGUCAUUACAAAUCCGAUAAAGAUAGGGUGGACAAAUUGAAGGAAAACGGCGUCUCGAAGAAAGGGAUCUUCAAGGAUGUCCUCCGAGGCAGACGAGUUGGAGAAUAUGGUAUUAAGUUUUCGAGUGUCUGAGCUUCAGAUGCUUUUAGGUUUCGCUGGUAGAAACAAAUCGGGACGUAAAAACGAAUUACAAUUGCGUGCUUUGGAAUUAUUGAGACUGAGAUCGCAUCCAGUGCAGUUGAAAAUUCGGGAACUCUAUAAAACAAUUCAAGCGGAUCAGUUAGCUGCCCAUCAAAUGUACAGUCAACAAGGUGGUGAUUCACAAUUAGACGAAAACAUGCAUCAAAGGAAUGAUGAUGCGAGGGUUCUGCGUAGAGUCGCGCAGCAGCAUGGAGCAUCUGGAGUGGCACCUGGGAAGGAUUUGCCACCUGCUCACCAGGCGUCGAUGCCGCAGUCUCAAGUCGCCAGAGCCCCCCAAGUUUAUCAGCCAUCGAGUUAUCAAGGAGUUUCUGCUCAGAGGUCCACCAACAGUGUUUAUACUCCCUAUGCCUAUCCCACGAAAGUCCUACCACCACCGAUGCAACUCCAGCAGCCGAGUCAGUAUCCGGUGCACCCAGACGUUAGACUGAAAAGGUUACCCUUCUACGAUUUACUUGGAGAGUUACUCAAACCCUCGAGUCUGAUGCCCCAGGGCUCUAUGAGACUGCAGGAAAACAGUUUCCAGUUUCACCUAACUCCACAACAAGCAUCUGACAUUGCCACUUACCGGGAUUGCCGACCAGGGUCCAAAAUGGAAUAUAUCAUUCAAGUUCAAAUGAGAUUCUGCCUUCAGGAGACGUCUUGUGAGCAAGAGGAUUAUUUUCCACCCAGUGUUCAGGUGAAAGUCAAUGGAAAGCAAUGUCCACUGCCAAACCCCAUUCCCACAAACAAACCAGGAGUCGAACCAAAACGACCCCCACGACCAGUUAACAUAAGCCCCCUAGUGAAGCUAUCCCCAACAGUAGCCAACAGUAUCCAAGUGACUUGGUCAGCUGAUUAUGGUAGACGUUAUGCAGUUGCUAUCUACAUGGUUAAAAAAUUAACGAGUUCCGAAUUACUCAGUAGACUUAAAAACCGAGGUCCCCGACAUUCCGAUUACACACGUGGUCUCAUCAAAGAGAAACUCAAUGAGGAUGCAGACAGUGAAAUAGCCACAACGUCUCUGCGUGUAUCACUGGCAUGUCCACUCGGUAAAAUGAGAAUGAGCACACCGUGUCGUGCCAGCACAUGUUUGCAUCUUCAGUGCUUCGAUGCGUCGUUAUAUCUCCAAAUGAACGAGAGAAAACCGACCUGGAACUGUCCUGUCUGUGAUAAAACAGCGCUUUAUGACAAUCUCGUCAUUGAUGGGUAUUUCCAAGAAGUCCUGCUAUCUAAGAAAUUGUUGAGUGAUGUCAAUGAGAUACAGCUCCUGCAGGAUGGGUCUUGGGAGAAUUUAGUACCCAAGAAGGAGAAGGAUAAGGACAAGGAGAAAGGAGAGGCGAAGGCGGAGUCAAAUUCACGGGCUAAAGUCGAUGUUGAUACGGUUGAUUUAGAUGAAAGCACGUCAGCAGUGUCGACAAAACCGGAGGAGAAGAAAAAUGCUCCAGUAAUCGACCUCAUAUCCGACUCAGACGAUGACGAGGAGGGUCCGGCAGCAAAACAGAUAAAGACAUCCAAUAAUAAAAAUCCCUCGACUCAAGGGCCUCCUCGCCGAAAUCACGACAAUGCCAAAAGAGACAGUGAGUCUCCCGAUCUGUUGGUCAUAAAUCUCGAGUAAAAACCCGACUUCAUUUUACCGUUUUAGUUAUUUCAAGUGCUUAAUGUAAACGUAAUUCCGAUGUGAGUGCAUACCAAAGUGGAUUCGUGGAGCACAGGAUGUGGUUUGUCAGAAACUAGGAAGAUUGAAUGUGAGCCAGGGAGAACGGCAUAUUGCACAGUGGAGUACGGUCCCGGUUGAUCGACAUCGAUGGCUCUGACACCCUGGAGCACCCUGGUCCCCACCACAGUGACCUGGAUUCAUGGAAAAGGAGAUAAAAACAACUGUUUGAAAUAGCGUAAUUUUUCCAUGUCAGAUGGCCAAGAUUCAUCCACUAAUGGCACAUCUCCAACGAAACAUAGGAAAUAUCCGCUGUUUUAUUGUAACGGCGAGUGAGUACAGCGUUACGCGUAGCUGGUAACGCGCUAGCUCACCCACUCGUCUCGUUCACUAACACAUAACGAAAUUUCAAGUUGACUCGUCAUUCGCUACAUCCCCUACUCCAAACGUUAAACUCAAGUUACGGUUUGCUGAAUUUCAUGCAUUAAUGGCUUUCAACAACGAAACUCUAAAUGCUGAACUGCUAAGUAUAAUACUUGAAAUGAAGAAAAAAAUCUGGGAAAAAUCCAAUUCAAUUAAUUUUAUUUUAAGUGAAUGGGGAAAUACCCAUUAAAAAGGUCGUGAAAUUAGUGAAAGAGAGAUUAUUUAAUUAAAGAGGGACUGGAGGUAAAAAUGACGGAAAAAUAAAACGGGGGAAAGGACUAGGAGCAGAAUUAAUAAAUAUAAUUAUUGAAGUGAAGAAAAAAUAUCGGAGAUAAUUAAUGAUUCAUUGAUAAUAUUGAAAAUGUUCAGGCUAUUGUUUGGAUUAUUGUUUACCUCGGAAAUGUUGAGAAUGUAGGGUGCAUUGACGAACUGGGGCGCGUUAUCGUUGGCGUCGGUUACUCGUAUAUUUACAGGUAUCAUAAAGCCCUGAAAUACGCAAUAACUGUAGUAUCAGCACAUAAUUUCAUUAAUUGGGGAUUGAAAAACAGUGACAGGGAUUUUUCGGUAACAAGUGGAUGCACCAAAAAAAAAUGUCGAUGCAGAUCGCUAGGUUUUAGAAAGUUGGGGGAAGACCCCUUCUCGUAGAAAGUGGCCGGCAUUGUGACUUAUGAAUUAAUUCUACUGUUAACAAACUGAAAUUAUGAGGGCAAUUUGCGAGAGAGAUAAUGAAUUAUUACGAAAAUAUUGCGGAAGUAGUUUUCAAAUAAAAAAGUGCAAAAAAUUAGCAGAAAAGUACGCGACUUUCGUACGAUUUUUUGGAGGCUUUUUAAAAAAAUAAAAGUAUGUUAUAAAAUUGUUGCUUCCCUUUCUCUUCUCACCAGAAUAAUCACGCGAAGAGCAAUCUCAGUAAAAUAAAUUGUAGGAAAUAUUUUCUAUUAAAUUUUUUGAUACGUGAAAUAAACUCGUGACACGACUUUCCAGACUUAUGAACUUACGGGAUCUAGCGUGUGUCGUCUCUCGCAUAUAAUGUUAAUGUAUACACUGGCGGGACCAUCGAUGCCCUCCUUGUCAAGUGGUCUAAUAAGCGUUAAAUUUCUUGAAUGAGGUAAUAUAGUAACUGGACUAUCGUGCUCCUGAAGAUGUAAUUCUAUAUCUCCAUCGAUACUUGGAUCCCCGAGGACCCCUAAAACACCUAUCGUAUCCCCAACUUUUUUGUCCUCGCUGACGAAGAGAUGCGAGGAUGUUGCACCGUUUUCCAGAAAGCAUCUUGUGUCUCUAAUCACUUCAACCAAAAUCACGAUUAAAAUAGCCCCCCACAACCAUGUUCCCUGGAGCGACAUUGGUAAAAAAUUGCUACUUACAUUGCGCUGAAUUCAAAUUAAUCAACGAAAUAAUCAACAAUAACUUCAGCAUUAUAGCAGUGGAUAGGAUUCACGUGUCCAGACACUCAUUUCCUGCCACAUCUGAAGGAUUCUCUGUUCUCUUCAUCCACAACAAAUUAAAGAUUACAACUCCUCGUAAUACACUGUUACAACGGGCACAAACCCUUGAACUUACUGAAUACCCUUCACAUGGUAAUCAUCGAGCACUUUUCAGCGAGAGAAAAAAAAAAGGGAAAAGAACCGGUUUAGCACAAUGUUCUUUCUUCAAAAAGACGAUUUCCGGUGCCAAUAUAAUACGGAGUAUUUCACACAAAACCAUAACAAUUGAUAAACUCUGGUACAAACGCAACUCCACUAACGAUUGCACAAGUGGUACCUUCACAGCACGAACUACCUUUGAUAUUAAUUAAUAUUUAAUUGAGGAUCAUCACAUGAAAUUUUGAAAGACUGAAUUAAUCGAGGCACCUGAAGACCCGGCAAUGUCCAGCCUGAGAGUGUCCCGUGUGCAGCUGUGAAAGGGUCUCCACCGUAUAACAAACAUAAGCAUGGUUCAGGAAAUGACCGGUAAAAAGAGGGGAUAGAUUCUCCCCCAUUUUCCACCGUGAACAGGUGCCACAGUGCACACCACUGAAAAAAAAACCCAUGGCCCAACGUAUGGUAAUUACCACGCGCUCCACUGCUCCACAAUGUGAAAAUUCAAUGACUAAAUAGGGAUAUUUUAUACAACAAAUGAAGAGAAAUGAGAGAUUAAAAAAACGUCUGUUAUUCUUUUAUUAUUACUUUAAUUGUUUCGUUAUAUUUUUCAUACUCCCUACUUUCUCGAUAAAGUACACACUUAAUAUAAAAGAAAGUAUGAGAAUUAUUAUGCAUGCGAGUCUUUCAUCUUUCCUCCUAAAUGGUGUCUACUACAAUAUGUAUUCAUUUUUUUUUGUUCGUUUAGUUUUAAUUAUGACAAAUGUGUAUAAAACGCAUGUAGAACACAUUUCCCUCAUUUUUUCCAUUUGCUCAUCUUGCGUUAGACAUAUAAAGAGUUGUAGUAGGUGUUAUUUAUUUAUCAAUGAUUUAAUAUUGCUGCGAAUUAUUAUAUAUACAUAGAUUUAUAUAUACAUGUACGUGUAUAUUUAUGAGUCAUGCAACUGCCUUGUUUUUUUUUUGUAAUUCAAUGACAAAAAUUCCCCCUCCAUCGCUGUCUCCACGCGUGCACGAAUCAUUUUUAUUUCCCCCUAUUAUUGGUGUUUUCCCUCUCGUGGAUCGGAGCGGGGACGAACGACAGGGCAUUGUGGAGGAGAACCUCGCGAUGGAAGGGUGAAGUCGCAAAUAAUUUUUUUUUUAGUCCAUUAGUGAGAAAUACUUGAAUAAAAAUUAUGCAAUUUGUAUAGUUUCGAAGAGCUGCAUAUCAAAUUUUAGUUCCAGUUAUAAAGAUGAUUUUUCCUACGUUAUUUCAUCGUUAACGUAAAAUAAUGAAUUACUUUUUUUUGUUAAAAUUUAACUCUAGAUGGAUUAUUAUUAGUACCUAUUACUUAGGAACUGUUGACGUGAAGUUUUGCGGAAGAUGAUUUUUCUCUUUUCAUUGUUGUAUCACUAGAUCCUACCCACAUAAUAGUUCGUGUAAAUAAAAUAAUGAAUAAAAAUUAUUAUAGAAAAUGAACCACAGUGUUAGAUUCCUUUCAUCGUCUUCAGCUCCUUUAAUGCUCACUUGUGUAAAUUAGUUACGCCGUUUUGUUUCAUUUAUGAUUAUUAAUUUCACUUUCCUUAGCUUAUCGAUGCAAGGUGAAGAAGACUCUUCAUGGGCAUGAUUCUGUUAUUUUUUUUUUUUUUUCGUUUUUAUACUUUAAAUUACAGGGAGUCUUGUAUAUGUAGUACCACUGAGCGUUUUUGUUUUUCUUAACUUUAUUCUUGAAAAAUUGAUUAACCCUGAAAACACAUUCCAACGUAAUUAAAUUAACUAUAAAGAAA